UCCCAGCAGCCACACUUUAUAUUUUCUUCUUUUUCCCCUUUUUAAUUCUCAACGGCUAUGCACGAUACGACGUCGUUGCCCAAACUGCAAUAUAUCAGCGCGUUCCUUUUCCUCAAUGCACAACACAAACAGCACCUCUUCACACUCUCGGAAGGCUUCGUCACUGACCGAGUAAUCGACUCCAAAAACUGUGAUGGAUGAUCAGGACCUGGGCUUCUUUGCCAAUUUUCUCGGCAUCUUCAUAUUUCUACUGGUAAUAGCGUAUCAUUUUGUGAUGGCCGACCCAAAAUAUGAAGGCAACUAAUGAUCUGUUUCUUUUUUAUGUAUUUGCAAUGGAUAUGCAAUUUUCUCGCAACUAAUGGGGUUACGCUAUUAAUUUUGUAGCGUGAACUAUUUCAGAAUGCAUACAACUUGAUUUAGUGAAAAGUUUUGGUAUACAAUAUGACUGUGCUGUUAUACACAUGAUUUUCUUUCUCUAGUUUAUCAGUGCUUCAUAUUUAGUUUUCCACGCCUUUGCAGUGUUAAGGGUGUGGACUGUGUUCGGACUGUGUUUUGAAGGUUACCAUUGGCUGUGGUAGCGAAUCAAGUGAUCCGUUGUUCAUAGAAAGUGCGAAAAGCACAUUUUAGGGUUCACGGAAAAGAACAUUCCUUUUGGUGAAUAUUCAGAAAGAUAUAGGGAAAUUACAAUGUGUACUGAGGUCAAUGGAAUAUUGAAAAAUCUAAUGGCAUUUGCCAAUCUGUUAGAUGUAUUGUCAAAGCUAACCAUCUCUCAUAUGAGCUAUGUAUGUGCAUUAAAUUUGACUAGUUUUCUCACAUCUUUCUUCAU
Molecule: small RNA, 826 nt
Filed under: Malus domestica (apple)
Lineage: Eukaryota; Viridiplantae; Streptophyta; Magnoliopsida; Rosales; Rosaceae
Description: sRNA MD04G0098600
Source: RNAcentral